GGAAAAUGUCCCUGAACUUCAAACCCAGUUGGUGCGGUCAGCCCGCGCUAGGUCGGUUCGACUCCGGCUGCCUUCCGCCA
This 80-nucleotide transfer RNA is filed under the name Burkholderia thailandensis. Its description in RNAcentral is "tRNA-Sec". The record is from RNAcentral. Lineage: Bacteria; Pseudomonadati; Pseudomonadota; Betaproteobacteria; Burkholderiales; Burkholderiaceae.